UGGGGAAUAUUGGGCAAUGGGCGCAAGCCUGACCCAGCAACGCCGCGUGAAGGAUGAAGGCUUUCGGGUUGUAAACUUCUUUUCUCAGGGACGAAAGAAAUGACGGUACCUGAGGAAUAAGCCACGGCUAACUACGUGCCAGCAGCCGCGGUAAUACGUAGGUGGCGAGCGUUAUCCGGAUUUACUGGGUGUAAAGGGCGUGUAGGCGGGAAGGCAAGUCAGAUGUGAAAACUAUGGGCUCAACCCAUAGCCUGCAUUUGAAACUGUUUUUCUUGAGUGCUGGAGAGGCAAUCGGAAUUCCGUGUGUAGCGGUGAAAUGCGUAGAUAUACGGAGGAACACCAGUGGCGAAGGCGGAUUGCUGGACAGUAACUGACGCUGAGGCGCGAAAGCGUGGGGAGCAAACAGG
RNAcentral lists this ribosomal RNA (407 nucleotides) under uncultured bacterium. RNAcentral describes it as "bacterial SSU rRNA". It matches the Rfam family "Bacterial small subunit ribosomal RNA", at positions 355 to 776 of the family's 1533-position model. The record is from RNAcentral.